CACAGACUAUUUGCUCAUCCCCAGAUUUCCUGGAAUGCCAAGCACAGAACCUAGCAUGAGGUGGGUCUUAUGGAGUCCACCAACCAUGGCAAGGACUUUGGACUUUGUUCUGAAGAAUCCAGGAUCCCAGCACAUGAGGGGUAUGUGUGCAUUGGGUGCCAGGGGGUGUGACUUGCUAAGAAAUGGCAUCAGCGCCAAAAGCCAGAUGCCCAGUUCACGUUAUAAGAAUACCGGGCUGCAGGAAGUGACGGAGAUGAGCUAGCGCGUCGAAGAUACCUCUAUGGUUUUCCUCCCGUUCUUGAGUCGGGAAAUGGCCGCUGUGUAGUUACAACGGAGUCCUGGGAACGGUGCUUUCGACGUUUCAGGAAUUUGAAUUUAGAGUUUAAUUUCUCAGAACAUUUUCUCCAGGAAGAACUUUACAGUAUCUUAAAGACUUCACUUGACUGUUUAAUCCUGCAUAAAACCCAAGGAGAAAAGAAAUGGGUCGCUCCAAUUCUAGAUCACAUUCUUCAAGAUCAAAGUCUAGAUCACAGUCUAGUUCUCGAUCAAGAUCAAGAUCACAUUCUAGAAAGAAGAGAUACAGUUCUAGGUCUCGUUCUAGGACAUAUUCAAGAUCUCAUAGUAGAGAUCGUAUUUAUUCUAGAGAUUAUCACCGAGAUUACAGAAAUAAUAGAGGAAUGAGACGACCUUAUGCGUACAGAGGAAGGGGCAGAGGGUAUUAUCAAGGAGGAGGAGGUAGAUAUCAUCGAGGUGGUUAUAGACCUGUCUGGAAUAGAAGACACUCUAGGAGUCCUAGACGAGGUCGUUCACGUUCCAGGAGUCCAAAAAGAAGAUCCGUUUCUUCUCAAAGAUCCCGAAGUAGAUCUCGCCGGUCAUAUAGAUCUUCUAGGUCUCCAAGAUCAUCCUCUUCUCGUUCUUCAUCCCCAUAUAGCAAAUCUCCUGUCUCUAAAAGACGAGGGUCUCAGGAAAAACAAACCAAAAAAGCUGAAGGGGAGCCCCAAGAAGAGAGUCCUUUGAAAAGUAAAUCACAGGAGGAGCUGAAAGAUACAUUUGAACAUGACCCAUCUGAAUCUAUUGAUGAGUUUAACAAAUCAUCAGCCACAUCUGGUGAUAUUUGGCGUGGCCUCUCAGCUUAUGAUGAUAGUCCUAGAUCACCUCAUAAUCCUUCACCAAUUGCUACACCACCUAGUCAGAGUUCAUCUUGCUCUGAUGCCCCCAUGCUCAGUACAGUCCACUCUGCAAAAAACACCCCCUCUCAGCAUUCACAUUCCAUUCAGCAUAGUCCUGAAAGGUCUGGGUCUGGUUCUGUUGGAAAUGGAUCUAGUCGGUACAGACCUUCUCAGAAUAGUCCAAUUCAUCAUAUCCCUUCAUGAAGAAGCCCUGCAAAGACAAUCACACCACAGAAUGCUCCAAGAGAUGAGGCUAGGGGACGUUCUUCAUUUUAUCCUGAUGGUGGAGAUCAGGAAACUGCGAAGACAGGAAAAUUCUUAAAAAGGUUCACAGAUGAAGAGUCUAGAGUAUUCCUGCUUGAUAGGGGUAAUACCAGGGAUAAAGAGGCUCCAAAGGAGAAAGGAUCAGAGAAAGGGAGAGCAGAGGGAGAAUGGGAAGAUCAGGAAGCGCUGGAUUACUUUAGUGAUAAAGAGUCUGGAAAACAAAAGUUUAAUGAUUCAGAAGGGGAUGACACAGAGGAGACAGAGGAUUAUAGACAGUUCAGGAAGUCAGUCCUUGCAGAUCAGGGUAAAAAUUUUGCUACUACAUCUCACUGGAAUACUGAGGAGGAAGGACCCAAGUACAAGUCCAAAGUUUCAUUGAAAGGCAAGAGAGAAAGUGAUGGAUUUAGAGAAGAAAAAAAUUAUAAACUUAAAGAGACUGGCUACGUAGUGGAAAGGCCUAGCACUGCAAAAGAUAAGCACAAGGAAGACGACAAAAGUUCUGAGAGAAUAACAGUAAAGAAAGAAACUCAGUCACCUGAGCAGGUAAAGUCUGAAAAGCUCAAAGACCUCUUUGAUUACAGUCCCCCUCUACACAAGAAUCUGGAUGCAGGAGAAAAGUCUACCUUCAGAGAGGAGAGCCCACUUAGGAUCAAAAUGAUAGCCAGUGAUUCUCAUCGUCCUGAAGUCAAACUCAAAAUGGCACCUGUUCCUCUUGAUGAUUCUAACAGACCUGCUUCCUUGACUAAAGACAGGCUACUUGCUAGUACACUUGUCCAUUCUGUCAAGAAGGAACAAGAAUUCCGAUCCAUCUUUGACCACAUUAAGUUGCCACAGGCCAGCAAAAGCACUUCAGAGUCUUUUAUUCCACACAUUGUGUCCUUGGUUCAUCAUGUUAAAGAGCAAUACUUCAAAUCAGCUGCAGUGACCCUAAACGAGAGGUUCACUUCGUAUCAGAAAGCCACCGAAGAACAUAGUACCAGGCAAAAGAGCCCUGAGAUACACAGGAGAAUUGACAUCUCUCCAAGUGCCCUGAGGAAGCAUACUCGUUUAGCAGGGGAAGAGAGAGUUUUUAAAGAAGAAAUCAAAAGGGAGAUAAAAAACUAAGGUGUGAUUCUGCUGAUCUUCGGCAUGACAUUGAUCGUCGGAGAAAAGAAAGAAGUAAAGAACGGGGGGAUUCCAAGGGCUCCAGGGAAUCCAGUGGAUCAAGAAAGCAGGAAAAAACUCCAAAAGAUUACAAGGAAUACAAAUCUGACAAAGAUGACAGUAAACAUAAAAGUAGAGAGCAAGAUCAUUCUCGAUCUUCAUCCUCUUCAGCAUCACCUUCUUCUCCCAGUUCUCGAGAAGAAAAGGAGAGUAAGAAGGAAAGAGAAGAAGAAUUUACAACUCACCAUGAACUGAAAGAAUACUAAGGCUUUGGUUUGGAGGAGUUAGCCGACCACGAGGAACCUUUCAUGAUGACAGAGAUGAUGGUGUGGAUUAUUGGGCCAAAAGAGGAAGAGGUCGUGGUACUUUUCAACGUGGCAGAGGGCGCUUUAACUUCAAAAAAUCAGGUAGCAGUCCAAAAUGGACUCAUGACAAAUACUAAGGGGAUGGGAUUGUUGAAGAUGAAGAAGAGACCAUGGAAAAUAAUGAAGAAAAGAAGGACAGAUGCAAAGAAGAAAAGGCAUAGUAAAUCUGAAGUGAGAUUGCAACAGAGAGCAGAACUUGCACCCACCAUUUUUUACCUGAUUUUUGUUUUCAAAAUAAGAAUGUAAGCAUUUUACUUAAAUUUUACUGUUUGCAAGUAGUCAAUAGAAAUUUUGUUUUAAGUCUUCAAAUACCUUGAAAAAUAGUAGACUGUAUGUUGAAAAUUGUA
Molecule: RNA transcript, 3288 nt
Organism: Zalophus californianus (California sea lion)
Lineage: Eukaryota; Metazoa; Chordata; Mammalia; Carnivora; Otariidae
Gene name: bcl-2-associated transcription factor 1-like
Exons: 1
Source: RefSeq, a predicted model, not a curated record